CCCUUAGAUAUUCUGGGCCGCACGCGCGCUACACUGAUGCAUUCAACGAGUCUAAAACCUGCUCUGAUAGGGGUGGGUAAUCUUUUGAAUGUGCAUCGUGAUUGGGAUAGAUGAUUGCAAUUUUUCAUCUUCAACGAGGAAUGCCUAGUAAACGCAAGUCAUCAGCUUGCAUUGAUUACGUCCCUGCCCUUUGUACACACCGCCCGUCGCUCCUACCGAUUGAAUGAUCCGAUGAAUAUCAUGGAUUGAGGAUUAUAGCAGGUUCGCCUGUCUUGAUCUUCGAGAAGUGAAGUAAAUCUUAUCAUUUAGAGGAAGGAGAAGUCGUAACA
Molecule: ribosomal RNA, 329 nt
Filed under: uncultured eukaryote
Lineage: Eukaryota
Description: partial 18S ribosomal RNA
Rfam family: Eukaryotic small subunit ribosomal RNA
Source: RNAcentral